Molecule: transfer RNA, 69 nt
Filed under: Apaloderma vittatum (bar-tailed trogon)
Lineage: Eukaryota; Metazoa; Chordata; Aves; Trogoniformes; Trogonidae
Description: tRNA-Asp
Source: RNAcentral
GAGAUGUUAGUAAAUAAAUUACAUAGUCUUGUCAAGACUAAAUUACAGGCAAUGACCCUGUACACCUCA